GUGCCAGCCGCCGCGGGUAAUACGUAGGGUGCAAGCGUUAAUCGGAAUUACUGGGCGUAAAGCGUGCGCAGGCGGUUGUGCAAGACAGGUGUGAAAUCCCCGGGCUUAACCUGGGAACUGCACUUGUGACUGCACAGCUGGAGUACGGCGGAAGGGAAUGGAAUUCCGCGUGUAGCAGUGAAAUGCGUAGAUAUGCGGAGGAACACCGAUGGCGAAGGCAGUCCCCUGGGCCUGUACUGACGCUCAUGCACGAAAGCGUGGGGAGCAAACAGGAUUAGAUACCCUGGUAGUCCACGCCCUANACGAUGUCAACUGGUUGUUGGGAAGGUUCCUUCUCAGUAACGUAGCUAACGCGUGAAGUUGACCGCCUGGGGGAGUACGGCCGCAAGGUUGAAACUCAAAUGAAUUGACGG
Molecule: ribosomal RNA, 413 nt
Filed under: uncultured bacterium
Lineage: Bacteria
Description: bacterial SSU rRNA
Rfam family: Bacterial small subunit ribosomal RNA
Source: RNAcentral